Molecule: long non-coding RNA, 287 nt
Filed under: Equus caballus (horse)
Lineage: Eukaryota; Metazoa; Chordata; Mammalia; Perissodactyla; Equidae
Description: lncRNA (ENSECAG00000052832.1)
Source: RNAcentral
GAAGGAAACAGCCAGUGCUGUGCUGGAAAACCGGCCCUGGGGGACGGCAGCCCCGAUGCAUGGCGUUUGUCAGUUUCUGCGGAGUAAGUCAGCCUACCAUGGCCAAGUUCAAGCCCCCAACCUGAGAUCACUGAACACAGAGCUGAGAAGUGAUGCACAGAAUCAGCUCUCAAGAGCCACACCCCUGUCAGCCUAAGCACAGGUGAUACAAACACGAGGCAAUGUCAAAGCAGCGUGAUCAGUGCCACCACUGAUCAGUGCGGAUGAGUACAAGCAGCACACAGAAG